RNAcentral lists this transfer RNA (74 nucleotides) under Solirubrobacteraceae bacterium. RNAcentral's name for it is "tRNA-Pro". It matches the Rfam family "tRNA". Rfam says of the family: Transfer RNA (tRNA) molecules are approximately 80 nucleotides in length. Their secondary structure includes four short double-helical elements and three loops (D, anti-codon, and T loops). Lineage: Bacteria; Bacillati; Actinomycetota; Thermoleophilia; Solirubrobacterales; Solirubrobacteraceae. The record is from RNAcentral. RNAcentral also lists the same sequence under 2 other names.
CGGGGCGUGGCGCAGCCUGGUAGCGCACCUGCUUUGGGAGCAGGGGGUCCCCGGUUCAAAUCCGGGCGCCCCGA